AUUGAACGCUGGCGGCGUGCUUUUCACAUGCAAGUCGAACGGCAGCACGGGAGCUUGCUCCUGGUGGCGAGUGGCGAACGGGUGAGUAAUACAUCGGAACGUACCCAGUAGUGGGGGAUAACGCACCGAAAGGUGCGCUAAUACCGCAUACGACCUACGGGUGAAAGCGGGGGACCGUAAGGCCUCGCGCUAUUGGAGCGGCCGAUGUCUGAUUAGCUAGUUGGCGGGGUAAAAGCCCACCAAGGCGACGAUCAGUAGCUGGGCUGAGAGGACGAUCAGCCACACUGGGACUGAGACACGGCCCAGACUCCUACGGGAGGCAGCAGUGGGGAAUUUUGGACAAUGGGGGCAACCCUGAUCCAGCAAUGCCGCGUGUGCGAAGAAGGCCUUCGGGUUGUAAAGCACUUUUGUCAGGGAAGAAAUCUUUCAGGCUAAUACCCUUGGAAGGAUGACGGUACCUGAAGAAUAAGCACCGGCUAACUACGUGCCAGCCGCCGCCGUAA
Molecule: ribosomal RNA, 503 nt
Filed under: uncultured bacterium
Lineage: Bacteria
Description: partial 16S ribosomal RNA
Rfam family: Bacterial small subunit ribosomal RNA
Source: RNAcentral